GACGAACGUUGGCGGCGUGCUUAAUACAUGCAAGUCCACUGAGGCAGUGGUAGCAAUAUCGCUGUGGAGGUGGCGCACGGGUGAGUAACACGUAGGUAAUAUGCCUUCAGGUCUGGCAUAACUCCGGGAAACCGGGGCUAAUAGCAGAUGAUGCAGCGGCUCGACAUCGAGACAGUUGUUAAAGCUAUGGCGCCUGAAGAUGAGCCUGCGUCUGAUUAGCUAGUUGGCGGGGUAACGGCCCACCAAGGCAACGAUCAGUAGCUGGUCUGAGAGGAUGAUCAGCCACACUGGAACUGAGACACGGUCCAGACUCCUACGGGAGGCAGCAGUAAGGAAUAUUGCUCAAUGGGAGAAAUCCUGAAGCAGCAACGCCGCGUGAGGGACGAAGGGCUUUUGCUUGUAAACCUCUGUAGUGAGAGAAAAAAAUCCCAAUCUUUGGGACAUGAUGGUAGCUCAAAAGUAAGCCCCGGCUAACUACGUG
Molecule: ribosomal RNA, 481 nt
Filed under: uncultured bacterium
Lineage: Bacteria
Description: partial 16S ribosomal RNA
Rfam family: Bacterial small subunit ribosomal RNA
Source: RNAcentral